GGUUGUGGCUCAGUGGCAGAGCACUUGCCUCUCACAUGUGAGGCACUGAGUUCAAUCCUCAGUACCUCA
RNAcentral lists this transfer RNA (69 nucleotides) under Marmota monax (woodchuck). RNAcentral describes it as "tRNA.Glu". Lineage: Eukaryota; Metazoa; Chordata; Mammalia; Rodentia; Sciuridae. The record is from RNAcentral.